AUACGUAGGUGGCGAGCGUUGUCCGGAAUUACUGGGCGUAAAGGAUGCGUAGGUGGAUACUUAAGUGGGAUGAGAAAUCCCCGGGCUCAACCCGGGCACUGCAUUCCAAACUGGGUAUCUAGAGUGCAGGAGAGGAACGCGGAAUUCCUAGUGUAGCGGUGAAAGGCGUAGAUAUUAGGAGGAACACCAGUGGAGAAGGCGGCUUACUGGACUGUAACUGACACUGAGGCAUGAAAGCGUGGAGAGCAAACAGGAUUAGAUACCCUGGUAGUCCACGCCGUAAACGAUGGGUACUAGGUGUAGGAGGUAUCGACCCCUUCUGUGCCGUCGUUAACACAAUAAGUACCCCGCCUGGGGAGUACGGUCGCAAGACUAAAACUCAAAGGAAUUGACGGGG
RNAcentral lists this ribosomal RNA (397 nucleotides) under uncultured bacterium. RNAcentral's name for it is "partial 16S ribosomal RNA". It matches the Rfam family "Bacterial small subunit ribosomal RNA", at positions 523 to 918 of the family's 1533-position model. The record is from RNAcentral.